CCCUUAGAUGUUCUGGGCCGCACGCGCGCUACACUGAUGCAUUCAACGAGUCUAAAACCUGCUCUGAUAGGGGUGGGUAAUCUUUUGAAUGUGCAUCGUGAUUGGGAUAGAUGAUUGCAAUUUUUCAUCUUCAACGAGGAAUGCCUAGUAAACGCAAGUCAUCAGCUUGCAUUGAUUACGUCCCUGCCCUUUGUACGCACCGCCCGUCGCUCCUACCGAUUGAAUGAUCCGAUGAAUAUCAUGGAUUGAGGAUGCAAGUAGGUUCGCCUAUCUUCAUCUUCGAGAAGUGAAGUAAAUCUUAUCAUUUAGAGGAAGGAGAAGUCGUAACA
This 329-nucleotide ribosomal RNA is filed under the name uncultured eukaryote. RNAcentral describes it as "partial 18S ribosomal RNA". It matches the Rfam family "Eukaryotic small subunit ribosomal RNA", at positions 1470 to 1796 of the family's 1831-position model. The record is from RNAcentral.